AUGUCCAGAUACUAGCUUAUCUGAAAAUUCUGCCAAUUUGUGAGUUAAAUGGAAGAAUGGAUAGUUCCCAAUUUUAUAGAAUCUAUUAAAUGGAAGUUGUAAAUAACAAUCUUCAGAGUUUCCUGAUUGAAGACUGAGGUCUGUGGAUCCUCUAAGUGGCAGAGCUGGAAAAUCUCAUCUUCUGCUUGCAUUCCUGGCUUUUCUCCAAUUUGAAUUUGCAAACAUCAAGGGCUCUGCAUACUCUCUGUGCUGCAAAAGGGCUCCUGUCUUCAGUACCCACUUCAUUUAUUUGAAAGGAAAGCAAAAAAACCUCACUCGACACCUUUUACAGCUUGAAACUGGGCCUGGAAAAGCUCAUUUGCAUUCCUGCAGCAAGGCUGGUGAAUAAACCGAGCAAACGUGUCUAUUUGUGUACUUCAAUAUAUGACUGUGCUUGCUUCAAUCAAGACUUAUUUUCAGUAUCAUGGCCAACAAAAGCAUUAAAUGAGUUUUCUCCAACAUGAAUGAUAAGCUGUAGAAUGUAUUUCUUUAAAAUAUUUUUUUCUGUGACACUUAUGGAAUGCAAUGAAAAAUAGAAGCAAGAGUGCAAAUCUCACUAGACAUUCACAAUGCUGCCUUGCCAUAUGAACUCUUUCUCCUUGUUUCCUGACAUGUUAAGUGCCUUCAUUAUAGUUUAGGUUGUAC
RNAcentral lists this long non-coding RNA (684 nucleotides) under Callithrix jacchus (white-tufted-ear marmoset). Its description in RNAcentral is "lncRNA (ENSCJAG00000072072.1)". The record is from RNAcentral. Lineage: Eukaryota; Metazoa; Chordata; Mammalia; Primates; Cebidae.